UACGUAGGGUGCGAGCGUUAAUCGGAAUUACUGGGCGUAAAGCGUGCGUAGGCGGCGAUGCAAGACAGAUGUGAAAUCCCCGGGCUUAACCUGGGAACUGCAUUUGUGACUGCAUGGCUAGAGUGUGUCAGAGGGAGGUGGAAUUCCGCGUGUAGCAGUGAAAUGCGUAGAUAUCAGGAGGAACACCGAUGGCGAAGGCAGGUCUCUGGGCUGACACUGACGCUCAUGCACGAAAGCGUGGGGAGCAAACAGG
This 253-nucleotide ribosomal RNA is filed under the name uncultured bacterium. Its description in RNAcentral is "partial 16S ribosomal RNA". It matches the Rfam family "Bacterial small subunit ribosomal RNA", at positions 524 to 776 of the family's 1533-position model. The record is from RNAcentral.